GGCACCGUGGCCAAGUGGCAAGGCAGAGCUCUGCAAAAGCUCCAUCAGCGGUUCGAAUCCGCUCGGUGCCU
Molecule: transfer RNA, 71 nt
Filed under: Chloroflexota bacterium
Lineage: Bacteria; Bacillati; Chloroflexota
Also listed under: 2 other names
Description: tRNA-Cys
Rfam family: tRNA
About the family: Transfer RNA (tRNA) molecules are approximately 80 nucleotides in length. Their secondary structure includes four short double-helical elements and three loops (D, anti-codon, and T loops).
Source: RNAcentral